Molecule: long non-coding RNA, 5345 nt
Organism: Anopheles coluzzii
Lineage: Eukaryota; Metazoa; Arthropoda; Insecta; Diptera; Culicidae
Exons: 2
Source: RefSeq, a predicted model, not a curated record
AGGAAGCACCAGCCGGUGGUAGAAGGAAGCACGCGUUGUGAUACGUGCGAUUGGUUUUUUUUUCUGUGCGUGUCUAUUUUCAGGUGAAUGUGUACAGCAUUUAAACUAAGUUACACCUGGAUGUGGUGGCAAAGGAGGGUAAAAAGCAGCACCAAGAAGUGCGUGUCUGUGUGUUCAUUUAUGACGCCUUCAUGCGGUGCGUAUAAAUGGGCGCACAUUAUGCACAUCAAUUGCCCGUAUGCAAAGCGGCGAGAGGUGCGCUCUGCAGUGCUGACAGUGAGUGCAACGAAAGUGAUGCAGGCGACACGGUGCAUAAUCGAAAUUCCUUCGCUACGGUGGAGAGCUCGCUCAUAAUGCUCGCCUAAAACGACCCUAGCAGGCAGUACGCAGCGUUUGUUGCUUUGUCUCGCUCCCGGGGAACGUUUUUGCUCUCGCUCGCUCGCGAUUAGCGCGUCUAUAGUAGGCAAGGAUAACCAUGGUUGUGAUUGUUUGAUGUGCGCGCAUGAAUAUAAACGACAAUCGACAGUACAGCCACGGUGUGGCAACUGGCAAGUGAGAGAUGUGUUUCACCAUUUUAUUUUGUCCGUUCGGCCCCAACCCGCCCUUCCGCCCGACCGGGGGCCAAUCCACCGUGCCGUUUAUCAGCCAUCACUCCGCCGGGUCUGUGUAAGCCUCAUCUGUCAUUCGAUCGUUCAAUCUCCUCCCUCGGCAAACUCCAGGCAGCUCCGGUUCACUUCAUCCGCCUAACGAUGCUCCUUUAUCUCGGGGGUUUCAUCUUUCGCCUUUUCCUCGAUUACUUCCAUCAAUUUAAAUUUUAUGAAUAAUUUCUUUUCUUUUUGUUCUCGCGUCGUGCAAAAGAUGCUCCUCUGGCCCCUACUGCUCGUGUGCCCUGCCACAAACAUCCCUUUGCCUGCUGCUUUCUUUCAGGCCAACCGCCCUCUUCGCCGCCCCUCUGUCCCUCUCCUUCACAAGCUUCUUGUGCCGUUUUCGUGCAGGUUUCGUACAGUGAGCCCCUGCCAGUCGGCAAAACGGUUGGGGAUCGUGAACUAUUUUCUCUGCCAACGAUCAUGAUCAAGUUGGAAGCAUUUUGUUCGUGUUUUGUUUCGUACUUCCCUGCCAUGCUUUGUGCCGAUCGCUAUCGGGCGACUCUAAGCUGGGCCGCAUAAGCUGUUUGCUCUGAACGGUAGACUUUGUUCUCGGAUCAAAGAGCACAGUAUCCACACAGCAUAGAUCAUUGCUUUGUUUUAUUGCAUACGCUAAAUGCAUCAACAUAAUUUGUGUUUCAAUCAUUGGUAGUGGAUCCCGUUUCGAGGUACACUCGGCUCCAGCUGUGCGCCGCCUCGCAGCGGUCUUUCUGUCCCAUCCAUUGCCUGCCUGGAAGAUAGUUUGAAGCAGUUUGCGACAGAAAUCAUCACACAGAGGCACCAAAGCUUGCGUGAUUAGUGGGAGGGAAAGGUAGUUAGUGUUCGAGAUUGAUGGAACGAUCAAACCAUCAAAAUGUUUACGAAGCCACAAUGCACGUGCAACGAAAGGGACGGUCGUUUAUUAUAUGUUUUAUCCCAGUGUUUAACAAAAAAGGUUGGUUUGUUACGACCGAAACUGGCGACAAUGCGCUUUUCCCGUGCCCGUACCGUGCUUGGAACCAUGGAACGGUUUUCGCUCCUUCCAGUUCCAAAAGACCAGCUCCGAACGCCAUGGGAAAAGGGCAAAGUAACGUUGGCAAUGGAUUUUGUGUGUGUGAGAGAGCUUUGUGUUGAACAAAACGAGCCUUAGGAAAGGCCUUGCACAAAACACAUCUCACAUCAUGUGCUCCUCCGGCCUCGGUCCUCUUUGUGUCAGGCUGGACGAUGUGUGAUUUUCUCCGAAACAAAUGUCCUGCCACACAGAGAAGGCACAAAACACACUACGGACGCUACGGGACGGCACCAAACACCAUCACCUUUGCACAAUGCAGCGCGUGGGAUGUGCGUGGGAUCAAAACAGUGCAAAAAGUGCGAUUCUCGGUGCUCAAAAAUUAAGCAAUCUGGCCUUGCGUUCGUUCGACCUGGCAAAGCGAGCACCGUUCACAUACCUGACCGCUGAGCCCGGUGGGAAAUCGAUCAGGACAAUGACGCACUGGAAGAAUUACGUGUCAAUCUUUCCCGUCUGCCACAAUCGGCUUCAAUCUAGUCCCGGUGUGUAUCGGUAAGGUGCUGUGCCUGGGUCUGGACCUGGGCCUGUGCUGCCCGAAUGUUACACACUGCACAGCAAAAACGUAUGUGUGUUCUAGCUAGCAGUUUUAGUGUACUGAUGGAGGAUGUAGUCACGAACAUCAUACACUAAACAUGUCAUCCAGUAUCUAGCGUGACGUUGAGCUUGAGCUUUGGUGAUAUUUAAAAAAACGGUUUACAUUAGGUUUGUUAGCCUUCUCGUCCAAUAAAAACAAUUACAAAGCACAUCCGGUGGAAGGGAAGAGUACAAAAAAAAACAACAUCCCUCUGCUGCACAGCCCAUCGCAUACGACUGACCUACUGCACUGUAGUGCGCUGUGUGCUGGGCGAUUGGUUUCCCAUUCCGGUCUAUUCGUUCCCUUCUUUCCAAGGACUAGCCCAUCGCCGGUGUGGUCCCUCGGGCCUAGCCGCAGGUAUGUGUAUGGUUGCAUUUUAAAGGCAAAUAUUUACUGCCGAGCUCCUUUCUCCGGGACGGGUCUGGGCUGCACCACACGCUCCCGGCACUGUCCAUUUGCAAGGGGUCGCCACGGCCACGAUGUCGUUGUAAAUACUUCAACCUUUUCGAAAGGAUGCACUGGUGCCCUGCGUACCUGUCCAGCGCACUGCAGGACGGGAUCAGAUAAUUGCAACAUCAUUAUCGAUUGUCGACCAGAUCUCCCGUGUCCCCGCUUAUCCGACCGACCGGACGCCAUGUUGCAGGGCCGGCUGGUUUUGGGCAGUGGCAGUCCGUUUGACCGGGUGUUUAGGCGUUGGGUUUGCUGGAUUUUAUCCCAACAGCGAUACCGCUGUCGAACGAGCACGAAAACAUUUUUCGGAUCAAUUCCUACCGGUGCCCGAAUCAGCAUGCAGCCAGCAAUUCCAGCUAGUGUCUGUGCUGCACCGAAGCCAAUGUAUCACAACAACACUUUUGCUGCGAUUCCCACCUUCUCCCCAAAGCGUAUGCCUGCCUCUCAGCGUGAUUUUGGUGCGUGUGUUGUCUCGUUUUCAUACCACUCGUUCGCGCGCACACACACAAAAUCUCUAUUUAUGUUGCCAGUGUCUGUAAUGUUUUUGUUUGCUCGCCGGACUCCCUACCUCUUACUCCAGGUUUGUGUGGUGGAGCUGCUACUGCCCCCGCGCCGACCGCGGAUGGUGCGUGUUAGUAAAAUAUGUUUUCUCACUAUCCGUGUGUGCGCGCGCGCGAUAUUGGGCAACAAGCAUUAAAGCACCGGGUCGGAUCCCACCUCCGUACCACGCAGGAAGGACACCGCCGCCGUGGACAGCGUUUCGUUUCGCCCUUUGCCCGAUUCGGGGAACGACCAAAUUUGGAUGACGACGGUUCCGGGCGUUGCUGUUCGGGGAUGUAGAUAUUUCGUUGUUCGCUUUCGUUGAUUUCUUUCAACGGGUUCGGGUAUGGGCACGGAACCCGUCACGGAUCCGGCGCACGAUGAUGGAUGCGCUGCGGGGAUCGUGCGGUGGUGUGGUGGGGAAUAAAAUAAUAUUUAAUGGAAAAACGGCCGAAACGGUCCAGCAACAACACAGCAGCAGCAGCAGCAGCAGCAACAGAGAAGGCAGUGCAACCGUACCCCGUAUCGCAGCAUCCCUUUGCUCGCAAUACAACGGGAACAAGCGGCAACGGAAGAUAUAUGAAAUCGGGGAUGGAAAAUCAUAAAGAAAAGGAUUGUGCGAGUUUUAUUAUACAUGGAAGCAAAAUAUGUAAACAAAUCACAGCCGCAAUGGCAUCGGCAUGAAGAAGCCCGGGCGAGAUUGUGCAAGCAUACCAGGGUCGGAAAGGGAAAGGAACCAGCACGGUGUUUGGCGGAAGUGGGUGGAAACGGUUCCUCUUCUUCGCACUGUUGCCCGUCGUACCUCGCCGGAUGCUUCGGGAUAUGCGUUGAGGAGGAGAUAGAGAAAGAGAUGGAGACAGAGAGAGAAAGAGAGAGAGAGAGAGAGAGAGAGAGAGAGAGAGAGAGAGAGAGAGAGACCGAAAGAACGAAUGGGAGUGAGCGAGAAACUCCAUAAAAGGGGGCAAGAAAUGGAUUCUCGUGCCAGCGCGGGCACAGGAGGGACCCACUGCCAUAGCGUUGGGUUUAGCGUUGGGUUUAGCGGAAGGAGCGGAUUGAAAAACAUACGCGCGUUAAAUUACAAGAUUUACUGUCAAAAGCCGAAAAAAGAGCCAGCCUUAUUGCGCAGGUCAAUCGUCCUUGCUGCUGCGGAUUAUGGGGUUCCUCGUUGGUGGUAGGAUUCGUGAAGUUUUAUUAGCUAUGUUGUGAACCUUUUUUCGCAAUUAUUGUUUUCCUCUGAUCGAGAUGAUCGGAAACAGAGGGGAAACAAAUUAAAAAUUCGCGUAUACCUUGCGGUGGGAAAUAUGAUAAUAAUGCUGAAGGUCAUUGUGCGAACGAAUCGAACCGUUUUGACACACUUCGGUCCAUCGUUUUGCUCCAGCCCGUGUGAUUAUUUCCCUCCCGAGCCAUACAGAUGGGUGAUAUCAUAUUGAGUUGUUGAUACAAUGCGAGAAGCAAAUAAAUUGAAUAUUUUACCCACCCCGCAUCCAGCGACAUGUGCUAGGGGAGUUGAGAUAGGAUGGAAGGGUGCCAGAAAGUAAAAAAAAAGACGACGGCCCGUCCAUUUUAUACACCCUACUAGCAAUGAGAAUGUAAAAGUGUGCGUCUUUCAGGCGAGGGGCAUGUAGAAGCAGGGGGAGACGGUUGGAAAUACGCGGAAUUACGCGGCGGCGAGAGCGUGUUUUGCUUUCUACACAGUUUUUGCACUCACACAAUCACACAUGUGUGAAUGUGUGCGUUCACUUUCAGCCAGCGCACUCAGUUUGGUUUUCUCGCAGCGGCUUGCUGGUGUCGGUGUCUCGCUCGCACUAGUGCAGCGAGUGUUCCUCGUGCGUUCCCUUUCUUGCUACCACACAAAAUCGUCAGUACAGUUCAAGUCUUCGCAGCGUGAGGCAGCGCGCGUUUUAGCCUAAGUCCCGGGCGCUCGAUUAUUCAACAUACACAACAUACAGGCAGUAAGGCGGGUGCUUGAAGUGACGAUUUUUUUAAUUAUUUAUAAUAAAAAAUAUGUGUGGUUUUGUGACAAGAUUGUGGUUAGCGAUGUGUGGAACUGUGCCUUAAGUUUCAAUAAAGUGUUAAAAUAUCAAACGAG